UACGUAGGGGGCGAGCGUUGUCCGGAAUUAUUGGGCGUAAAGAGCGCGUAGGCGGUCCGAUAAGUCGGCUGUGAAAGUCAGGGGCUCAACCCCUGAAUGCCGGCCGAUACUGUCGGGCUAGAGUCCGGAAGAGGCGAGUGGAAUUCCCGGUGUAGCGGUGAAAUGCGCAGAUAUCGGGAGGAACACCAAUGGCGAAGGCAGCUCGCUGGGACGGUACUGACGCUGAGACGCGAAAGCGUGGGGAGCGAACAGG
This 253-nucleotide ribosomal RNA is filed under the name uncultured bacterium. RNAcentral describes it as "partial 16S ribosomal RNA". It matches the Rfam family "Bacterial small subunit ribosomal RNA", at positions 524 to 776 of the family's 1533-position model. The record is from RNAcentral.